UACGUAGGGGGCAAGCGUUGUCCGGAAUCAUUGGGCGUAAAGAGCGUGUAGGCGGCCAGAUAAGUCCGCUGUGAAAUCUCGAGGCUCAACUUCGAGCUGUCGGUGGAAACUGUCUGGCUAGAGUCCGGAAGAGGAGAAUGGAAUUCCUGGUGUAGCGGUGAAAUGCGCAGAUAUCAGGAGGAACACCGGUGGCGAAGGCGGGUCUCUGGGCCGAAAUUGACGCUGAGGAGCGAAAGCGUGGGGAGCAAACAGG
Molecule: ribosomal RNA, 253 nt
Filed under: uncultured bacterium
Lineage: Bacteria
Description: partial 16S ribosomal RNA
Rfam family: Bacterial small subunit ribosomal RNA
Source: RNAcentral